RNAcentral lists this ribosomal RNA (1425 nucleotides) under uncultured Microgenomates group bacterium. Its description in RNAcentral is "bacterial SSU rRNA". It matches the Rfam family "Bacterial small subunit ribosomal RNA". The record is from RNAcentral.
UAGAGUUUGAUCAUGGCUCAGGAUGAACGCUGGUGGUGUGUCUUAGGUAUGCAAGUCGUACGGUCCGAUUUAUCGGACAGUGGCAGACGGGUGAGUAACGCGUAGGAAUCUACCCCAAAGUUAAGGAUAACCCCAGGAAACUGGGGCUAAUACUGGAUAGUCUUCAAGUUUGUCUUGAAGUAAAGUCUUCGGACGCUUUGGGAGGAGCCUGCGUCCCAUCAGCUUGUUGGUAGGGUAAUGGCCUACCAAGGCAGACGGGUAGGGGGCGUGUGAGCGCGGUCCCCCACAAGGUCACUGAAACACGGGGCCUACAUCUACGGAUGGCAGCAACCGAGAAUCUUGCGCAAUGGGCGAAAGCCUGACGCAGCGACACCGCGUGUGGGAAGAAUGCCUUCGGGUUGUAAACCACUUUUUUGGAGGAACAAUUUUGAGGGUACUCCAAGAAUAAGCACCUGCUAACUUCGUGCCAGCAGCCGCGGUAAAACGGAGGGUGCGAGCGUUAUCCGGAUUUAUUGGGCGUAGAGGGUUCGUAGGCGGUUUAGUAAGUAUGUUGUCAAAGUUCACUGCUUAACGGUGAAAAUGCAACGUAUACUGCUAAACUAGGAGGUUGUUGGGAGUGCUGGAAUUCCCGGUGGAGGGGUGAAAUCCGUGGAGAUCGGGAGGAACACCAAGGGCGAAAGCAGGCACUUAAGCAAUUCUUGACGCUGAGGAACGAAAGCUAGGGUAGCAAAAGGGAUUAGAGACCCCUGUAGUCUUAGCUGUAAACAUUGCUUGCUAGCUGUUCCGCUUUGGGCGGAGUGGCGUAAGUUAACGCGUUAAGCAAGCCGCCUGGGAAGUAUGACCGCAAGGUUAAAACUCAAAGGAAUUGGCGGGGGAGCGUACAACCAGUGGAGCAUGUGGUUUAAUUCGACACAAAGCGUAGAACCUUACCUGGGUUUGACAUGUACCUGCAAGCUCUUGAAAGAGAGUCGCUUUCGAAGGUGGUACACAGCUGCUGCAUGGCCGUCGUCAGUUCGUGUCGUGAGACGUUCUCUUAAGUGAGGCAACGAACGUAACUCUUGUCCUAUGUUGUAUUUCAUGGGAGACUGCCUCAGUAUAUACUGGGGAGAAAGGAGAGAAUAACGUCAGGUCAGCAUGGUGCUUAUAUCCAGGGCGACACACAUCCUACAAUGGGUGCUACAACGGGUUUGCGAUGUCGUGAGGCGGAGCUAAUCCCUAAAAAGCACUCUUAGUCCGGAUUGCAGGCUGCAACUCGCCUGCAUGAAGUUGGAAUUGGUAGUAAUCGCGGGUCAUCAGACCGCGGUGAAUACGUUCUCGCUCCUUGCACACACUGCCCGUCAACCGAGGAGAGUUGGGGGCGCCCGAAGUUCCACAUUUGUGGGCCUAAGGCGAACUCAGCAAUCAGCAGUAAGUCGUAACAAGGUA